CCUACGGGUGGCAGCAGUGGGGAAUAUUGGACAAUGGGCGAAAGCCUGAUCCAGUCAUGCCGCGUGUGUGAAGAAGGCCUUCGGGUUGUAAAGCACUUUCAGUGGGGAAGAAAGCCUUGGGGCUAAUACCCUCGAGGAAGGACAUCACCCACAGAAGAAGCACCGGCUAACUCCGUGCCAGCAGCCGCGGUAAUACGGAGGGUGCGAGCGUUAAUCGGAAUUACUGGGCGUAAAGCGCGCGUAGGCGGUCUGAUAAGCCGGUUGUGAAAGCCCCGGGCUCAACCUGGGAACGGCAUCCGGAACUGUCAGGCUAGAGUGCAGGAGAGGAAGGUAGAAUUCCCGGUGUAGCGGUGAAAUGCGUAGAGAUCGGGAGGAAUACCAGUGGCGAAGGCGGCCUUCUGGACUGACACUGACGCUGAGGUGCGAAAGCGUGGGUAGCAAACAGGAUUAGAUACCCUAGUAGUC
This 465-nucleotide ribosomal RNA is filed under the name Vreelandella stevensii. Its description in RNAcentral is "partial 16S ribosomal RNA". It matches the Rfam family "Bacterial small subunit ribosomal RNA", at positions 338 to 795 of the family's 1533-position model. Lineage: Bacteria; Pseudomonadati; Pseudomonadota; Gammaproteobacteria; Oceanospirillales; Halomonadaceae. The record is from RNAcentral.